Molecule: ribosomal RNA, 492 nt
Filed under: uncultured bacterium
Lineage: Bacteria
Description: partial 16S ribosomal RNA
Rfam family: Bacterial small subunit ribosomal RNA
Source: RNAcentral
AGUGAACGCUGGCGGUAGGCCUAACACAUGCAAGUCGAACGGCAGCAGAGUGCGAGCUUGUUCUUACGGGUGGCGAGUGGCGGACGGUCGUGGGAUACAUCGGAAUCUGCUUUUUAGAGGGGGCUAACGUUGGGAUAAUUACGCCAACCUCCCAUACGAACUACGGGUGCAAGCUGGGGACCUUCGGCUCUUGCGUGAUCGCAUGCCCCGAUGUCGGAUUAGCUAGUUGGGGGGGUAAAGGCCCACCAAGGCGACGAUCCGUAGCUGGUCUGAGAGGAUGAUCAGCCACACUGGAACUGAGACACGGUCCAGACUCCUACGGGAGGCAGCAGUGGGGAAUAUUGGACAAUGGGCGCAAGCCUGAUCCAGCCAUACCGCGUGUGUGAAGAAGGCCUUCGGGUUGUAAAGCCCUUUUGUUGGGAAAGAAAGGCAGCAAGUUAAUACCUCGCGGUUAUGACGGUACCCAAAGAAUAAGCACCGGCUAACUUCGUG